Molecule: ribosomal RNA, 405 nt
Filed under: uncultured bacterium
Lineage: Bacteria
Description: partial 16S ribosomal RNA
Rfam family: Bacterial small subunit ribosomal RNA
Source: RNAcentral
GACGAACGCUGGCGGCGUGCCUAAUACAUGCAAGUGAAGUUCAGUGGCGGACGGGUGAGUAACACGUGGGUAACUACCCAUCAGAGGGGGAUAACUACUGGAAACGGUAGCUAAUACCGCAUACUAUCGGAUAACCCAUAUGGGAUUCGCUAGUUGGUGAGGUAAUGGCUCACCAAGGCGACGAUCCCUAGCUGGUCUGAGAUGAUGAUCAGCCACACUGGGACGGAGACACGACCCAGACUCCUACGGAGGCAGCAGUGGGGAAUAUUGCACAAUGGGCGCAAGCCUGAUGCAGCCAUGCCGCGUGUAUGAAGAAGGCCCUAGGGUUGUAAAGUACUUUCAGUCGGGAGGCGUUACCGACAGAAGAAGCACUGGCUAACUCCGUGCCAGCAGCCGCGGUAAUAC